GACACUCUGGAGAAGCCCGGGUCGCCCCGGGUGCCGAAGGUGCAAAACCGGAAAACCGGUGAAUCUCUCAGGCAAAAGGACAGAGACA
This 88-nucleotide non-coding RNA is filed under the name bovine gut metagenome. Its description in RNAcentral is "Glycine riboswitch". It matches the Rfam family "Glycine riboswitch aptamer", at positions 9 to 86 of the family's 94-position model. Rfam says of the family: This family represents the bacterial glycine riboswitch. The record is from RNAcentral.